Molecule: ribosomal RNA, 248 nt
Filed under: uncultured Lactobacillus sp.
Lineage: Bacteria; Bacillati; Bacillota; Bacilli; Lactobacillales; Lactobacillaceae
Description: partial 16S ribosomal RNA
Rfam family: Bacterial small subunit ribosomal RNA
Source: RNAcentral
CACGUGGGUAACCUGCCCAAGAGAUCGGGAUAACACCUGGAAACAGAUGCUAAUACCGGAUAACAACAGAUGAUGCCUAUCAACUGUUUAAAAGAUGGUUCUGCUAUCACUCUUGGAUGGACCUGCGGUGCAUUAGCUAGUUGGUAGGGUAACGGCCUACCAAGGCGAUGAUGCAUAGCCGAGUUGAGAGACUUAUCGGCCACAUUGGGACUGAGACACGGCCCAAACUCCUACGGGAGGCAGCAGGU